AGUGAAUAGAUACCCUGGUAGUCCACGCCCUAAACGAUGGAUACUAGGCGUAAGAGGUAUCGACCCCUCUUGUGCCGCAGCUAACGCAUUAAGUAUCCCGCCUGGGGAGUACGGCCGCAAGGUUGAAACUCAAAUGAAUUGACGGGGACCCGCACAAGCGGUGAAGCAUGUGGAUUAAUUCGAUACUAACCGAAGAACCUUACCCAGACUUGACAUCGAUCGCAAGCCUUAGAAAUAGGGCCCUCCCCCACAAGGGGACGUGAAGACACUUGUUGCAUGGCUGUCGUCAGCUCGUGCCGUGAGGUGUACGGUUAAGUCCGCCAACGAGCGCAACCCUCGUCCUGUGUUACCAGCAUGAAAGAUGGGAACUCACAGGAGACCGCCGGUGUAAAUCGGAGGAAGGUGGGGAUGACGUCAAGUCAGCAUGGCAGUUACGUCUGGGGCUUCACACAUGCUACAAUGGGCGAAACAGAGGGCCGCAAUACCGUGAGGUGGAGCAAAUCCCAAAAAUACGCCCCAGUUCAGAUUGCAGUCU
RNAcentral lists this ribosomal RNA (535 nucleotides) under uncultured bacterium. Its description in RNAcentral is "bacterial SSU rRNA". It matches the Rfam family "Bacterial small subunit ribosomal RNA", at positions 774 to 1306 of the family's 1533-position model. The record is from RNAcentral.